This 303-nucleotide ribosomal RNA is filed under the name Chloropicon mariensis. RNAcentral's name for it is "partial Bacterial large subunit ribosomal RNA". It matches the Rfam family "Bacterial large subunit ribosomal RNA", at positions 345 to 633 of the family's 2925-position model. Lineage: Eukaryota; Viridiplantae; Chlorophyta; Chloropicophyceae; Chloropicales; Chloropicaceae. The record is from RNAcentral.
GGAAAGCGGACCACAGAGGGUGAUAGUCCCGUAUGCGACAGGAUCAGGUCCCCGUUGAGAGGCGUACCAGAGUAGCACGAGCCUCGUGGAAUCUCGUGUGAAGCCGGGCGGCCCACCGCCCAAGGCUAAAUAUUCCUCGAUGACCGAUAGUGAACAAGUAGGGCGAUUGAACGAUGAAAAGCACAGCUAUUAGCUGAGUUAAAAGUACCUGAAACCAUGCAUUUACAAGCGGUCGGAGCACUAUGCCCCGCAAGGGGAAUGUGUGACGGCGUACCUUUUGCAUAAUGGGCCGGCGAGUGUAUG